GUUGCAUGGACUUCGUAGGUUUACCAAUUUUUGGCGGGAAGUCAAGGGCUCUAGAGUGCCAUCGUCAUCUCUAAUGGCAACUGAAACAUAGCAGACACUGAACAAAUUUUAACAAAACAAAAAGGGUUUAGCUGCCCCUUGAGAAAGCUUCCCGACAUUUAGACAUCCCAACGAAAAUUCCCAGUAGCAAAACACCAAUGGAUGCGACGUGCAGGGCAAUGGAGCAGCUGCUGGCUGCAGUUGAGCUGAGUCGUAGCCAGAGCGAGGCCACCACACCAACGGCCACGACAACCAUAUCGAUCUGGAGCGCCCCCUCGCAAGGCAGUGGCUCCAGUUCCAUGGACCCUGUCUCCUUUCGGUUCCGCUUGGACGGGCAGCCCAUAUUGCCACCGCUGAUGACGAGCGCUAAGAGACGCGAGGUGCAGCUGGCCCGCCAGAUGGCGGAAAAGCUGGAGGAGCAGUACCGCCUGACCAGACACUCGGCGGGAUCCGACAUGGCCAGUCGGAGAAGUCUGUCGCAGCUGCAGCAGACAGAGACCCUCAUCUAUGACAGCACACGGGGCCAGGCUCGGCCGCAGACUCUGGUCUUGGGCAUACAGCUGCCCACCAUACACGUGGAUCCUCCCACGCCUCAGCCGCUUGUGCACCCAGUAGGCAACACUUCCCCAAGACGGCACAAUCGCAUUACCGAUCGUAUCCUGCAGUUCGAGCAGUCGGGUCUGGGUAAGCUGCUGCCCAAAGUUUCAGACAAGAGAAUCUUGCGCACAAGUCCUGCGUUAGCCGAAGACCAGCGAAAGCAGCAUCAUGAUACAGGGGCAAACAAGGUCGGAAGUCCAACCGCAGAACCAGCUAGUUUUCAGCGCUCGAGAAGUUUCACGCUGGAGGAGCCCUCCCAGGUUCUCGUAGAGCACAUGCAGAGGGAGGCACUGGCUCUGAAGCCCAGCCAGAGUUUGGCCAACUUCCAGAGGCAGACAAUCGAGUCUCAGGCCAAGCGGGUGAACCGUAGUGCUAGAAGCAUCAGCAGCAACAACAGCAACAAUAGUAACAAUAGCAACAAUAGCAACAAUAGCAACUCUAGCCGCACAACGAAGACCAUCGUCACUAGCACCACAGCCGCCGGUAGCAGCUGCUCCAGGCGGGAUCGCGAGGUGGAGCGUAUAAUAGAACGGGCAAUAGACGAGCACGGCGCUUUGGAAGCCAGUCGGAAGGCAGGAGUGCGUAACUAUCUGCGUGGCCAUCGGGAGCGGAUGAAUCAAUUGGUCAUCCACCAGGAGGAGGAACGUCGUCGCAUGCAGGCCCAGUUCUAUAAUCAGCAGCGGCAGCUUAUAGAGGAACUGUGUGCUGAAAUCGAUGUUACCUCGGGCACCGAAAAUCCAGACGGUCUCAUGUCGCAAAGCACCAGUACGGGAGACCUGCAGCGUUUCUCACCCGCGCCUACCAUGUCCCCCUUUUCAUAUGCCACGCCGCGCAGCUACCAGGAUGUGAAUGACUUUCUGCCGAUGGCGGAGGACAUGUGCCAAAUGGCGUCUCCUUCUUCCGUUCGGAAGAGGCUGUUUAGUCCGAAACUAACACAGGACUACGACUCGGAACCGCAGCCACUGGAGGAGGUCAGUGCUCCCAGCACACCGCGAUUAUUGCCCCUCAGGAACAGCAGCUUAACCAAUAGCAAACGAAGUGGCCAAGCUGUCCGGCGACGAUCGCAAACUGUUGGCAGUAGUCCCCGGAAAACGACCCCCCCUGCAGACCACGUGGUGAUGAAAUCACCAGCGAAGCCUGAUGGUGGAGCAGGACGACCGAAGAGUUCCCCGGUGAAAAAUAGCUCCACUACAGCGAAAAGGGGAAGCCCACAACCAAAAAGAGCAUCACCAAAAAGCGCCUCACCGCCCAAGCGACAGGGCAAUAAACACGUCGACCUGGAGCAGGAAGAGCGCCAGUGGGCGGCCACACGUAUUAAUGCAGCUGUGCGAGGAUUCUUGGUCCGACGGCUUUUUGCAACCGAGCAAGUGCAGCGAAUUGUCCAAACCAUCAGGGACACCCUGAUCUUCGUGUUGAACCUACACCUGGAAACUUGUGGACAUGGCCUGGAUGCAGAGGAGCCUGCAAACUUGCGCCUCAAGGCGCGCCUGCUUCAACAGCUCUGCUCCGCCAGUCGCACCCUGCACCUGAUCUUCUUCCAGACCAGCAUAAAGGACCGCAUGGAAAUCAUCGCCCGGGAUCGCAAGCGGAUCAAGACCAAACUGCUCCUCAAACAUCGCUGAUCCGACUCGCAGUCGGAAUUCGUAGGUUAGAUUGCUUGAUAACGGAAACGAUGAACGAAGCAUUCCUGUCCCAUCUUGGCACAUCUUAACUGUAUUUAGUACAGCUGAUUGGCAAAAGCACGCGUGGUUUUCUAUGUAGCCGAGCUUUCGAAACGGCGCACAGCUUUGUAGACGAAUUCGCCUUGAAAGCUGCGGCGGAACUAGGGAUGUCGUGAUAUUAAAAAAAUAUCGUAUAGAUAUUUUUUUUAUCAAAACUAAAUAAUGAUAAUAUAAAAAAUAUCUCAAAAAAAUAUUGAUAUAUAUUAUAAUAAUACGUUGUGUUUGUAUAAAUUUCAUAUAUUAAUGCUACCAGUACUUGGAAUAAUGUGAUUUUAGGAAAACUCGUUGUGUUAUAUGUGUGUCUGUCAUUAGGCUUCGUUCGUCACAGACUUCAUAUUUUGCAAAAACAUCGUAAUGCAUAUUCUAGAAAAUAUCGAUAUCGAUAUAUUGAUAUUUUGAUACAUUAUCAACAACCCUAGGCGGAUUGCCAAAACAAAUGAAAGUUUUGAAGCGAGUGGACGUGUGUUCGUGUGUUGGCUCUGAAAGAAAACAGCAAAGGCA
RNA transcript from Drosophila yakuba, 2858 nucleotides. It is a transcript of the gene named serine/arginine repetitive matrix protein 1, with no coding region annotated. The transcript has 7 exons. The record is from RefSeq and is a predicted model, not a curated record. NCBI's taxonomy places the organism in Eukaryota, Metazoa, Arthropoda, Insecta, Diptera, Drosophilidae.